Molecule: ribosomal RNA, 439 nt
Filed under: uncultured bacterium
Lineage: Bacteria
Description: partial 16S ribosomal RNA
Rfam family: Bacterial small subunit ribosomal RNA
Source: RNAcentral
CUACGGGAUGCUGCAGUGAGGAAUAUUGCACAAUGGGGGGAACCCUGAUGCAGCAGCGCCGCGUGGAGGAUGACGCAUUUCGGUGUGUAAACUCCUUUUAUAUGUCAAGAAAAUGACGGUAGCAUAUGAAUAAGCACCGGCUAACUCCGUGCCAGCAGCCGCGGUAAUACGGAGGGUGCAAGCGUUACUCGGAAUCACUGGGCGUAAAGGACGCGUAGGCGGGUUGGAAAGUCAGGUGUGAAAUCCUACAGCUUAACUGUAGAACUGCACUUGAAACUUCUAAUCUAGAGUAUGGGAGGGGGAGAUGGAAUUAGUGGUGUAGGGGUAAAAUCCGUAGAUAUCACUAGGAAUACCUAAAGCGAAGGCGAUCUCCUGGAACAUUACUGACGCUAUGGCGUGAAAGCGUGGGGAGCAAACAGGAUUAGAUACCCUCGUAGUC